This 252-nucleotide ribosomal RNA is filed under the name uncultured bacterium. RNAcentral describes it as "partial 16S ribosomal RNA". It matches the Rfam family "Bacterial small subunit ribosomal RNA", at positions 524 to 776 of the family's 1533-position model. The record is from RNAcentral.
UACGAAGGGGGCUAGCGUUGUUCGGAAUCACUGGGCGUAAAGGGCGCGUAGGCGGCCGAUUAAGUCGGGGGUGAAAGCCUGUGGCUCAACCACAGAAUUGCCUCGAUACUGAUUGGCUUGAGACCGGAAGAGGUCAGUGGAACUGCGAGUGUAGAGGUGAAAUUCGUAGAUAUUCGCAAGAACACCAGUGGCGAAGGCGGCUGACUGGUCCGGUUCUGACGCUGAGGCGCGAAAGCGUGGGUAGCAAACAGG